UACGGAGGAUCCGAGCGUUAUCCGGAUUUAUUGGGUUUAAAGGGUGCGCAGGCGGGAGAUUAAGUCGGCGGUGAAAUUUUGCAGCUCAACUGUAAAAGUGCCUUCGAAACUGGUUUCCUUGAGUGUAGAUGAAGUAGGCGGAAUUUGUGGUGUAGCGGUGAAAUGCAUAGAUAUCACGAGGAACUCCGAUUGCGAAGGCAGCUUACUAAGCUACUACUGACGCUCAGGCACGAAGGCGUGGGGAUCAAACAGGAUUAGAUAUCCGCGUA
RNAcentral lists this ribosomal RNA (269 nucleotides) under uncultured prokaryote. Its description in RNAcentral is "partial 16S ribosomal RNA". It matches the Rfam family "Bacterial small subunit ribosomal RNA", at positions 524 to 792 of the family's 1533-position model. The record is from RNAcentral.